Molecule: unclassified non-coding RNA, 325 nt
Filed under: Clavaria californica
Lineage: Eukaryota; Fungi; Basidiomycota; Agaricomycetes; Agaricales; Clavariaceae
Also listed under: 1 other name
Description: sequence contains 5.8S rRNA gene
Rfam family: 5.8S ribosomal RNA (bases 1-53)
Source: RNAcentral
GAACGCACAUUGCACCCUCUGGUAUUCCGGAGGGUAUGCCUGUUUGAGUGUCAUUAAUAUCUCAACACAGACAAGUUUUUAUGACUUGCACUGAUGCUUGGAUGCUGAAGGUUGCUGGCAAUAUUUGUCAGCUCCUUUUAAAUCUAUUAGCAGAAACCUAUGCAAAAAGCUGGCUUCAGUUUGAUAAGCACUUAUCUGUAUUGCUGUUGCUAGUGAAAUGCUCUUGUUUCAGCUUCCAAUUGUCCAAUUCUCUGGACUGCCUCUCAAGGCAAUUUAAUCUUGACACUUGACCUCAAAUCAGGUAGGACUACCCGCUGAACUUAAG